RNAcentral lists this ribosomal RNA (253 nucleotides) under Roseburia faecis M72/1. RNAcentral describes it as "partial 16S ribosomal RNA". It matches the Rfam family "Bacterial small subunit ribosomal RNA", at positions 524 to 776 of the family's 1533-position model. Lineage: Bacteria; Bacillati; Bacillota; Clostridia; Lachnospirales; Lachnospiraceae. The record is from RNAcentral.
UACGUAUGGUGCAAGCGUUAUCCGGAUUUACUGGGCGUAAAGGGAGCGCAGGCGGUGCGGCAAGUCUGAUGUGAAAGCCCGGGGCUCAACCCCGGUACUGCAUUGGAAACUGUCGUACUAGAGUGUCGGAGGGGUAAGUGGAAUUCCUAGUGUAGCGGUGAAAUGCGUAGAUAUUAGGAGGAACACCAGUGGCGAAGGCGGCUUACUGGACGAUAACUGACGCUGAGGCUCGAAAGCGUGGGGAGCAAACAGG